RNAcentral lists this unclassified non-coding RNA (344 nucleotides) under soil metagenome. Its description in RNAcentral is "partial contains 5.8S ribosomal RNA, internal transcribed spacer 2, and large subunit ribosomal RNA". The stretch from base 1 to 120 matches the Rfam family "5.8S ribosomal RNA", at positions 35 to 154 of the family's 154-position model. The record is from RNAcentral.
GAUGAAGAACGUAGCGAAAUGCGAUAAGUAAUGUGAAUUGCAGAAUUCAGUGAAUCGUCGAAUCUUUGAACGCACAUUGCGCCCGCCAGUAUUCUGGCGGGCAUGCCUGUCCGAGCGUCAUUUCAACCCUCAAGCCCCCGGGCUUGGUGUUGGAGAUCGGCGAGCCCCCCGGGGCGCGCCGUCUCCCAAAUAUAGUGGCGGUCCCGCUGUAGCUUCCUCUGCGUAGUAGCACACCUCGCACUGGGAAACAGCGUGGCCACGCCGUAAAACCCCCCACUUCUGAAAGGUUGACCUCGGAUCAGGUAGGAAUACCCGCUGAACUUAAGCAUAUCAAUAAGGGAGGA